AUGAUUACACAAGGCUACCAAGUUCACCCCAAAGCUUCCAUGGCCACCUUCCGAGUACGACAGGCAGAAGCUGAUCGGCCAGUGUUGGCCAGUAGCGAGGUGGUCAAGACGCCCCCUGAUUGGGCCUUCCCUCCGCAUGUCCAGAGCAUCUCGUCCAGAGCUCGCCGGAGCAGAGGUCGAGCCAGCCGAAGAAGAGCUGCUGGCCACGCCCGACCUCGUCCUGAGAAAAGGAUCUCACUGGCCGCUGCUGUAGGGAGUUCGUGCGACGGAGGGAGAGGAGGAGGCCACGCCAGAGUGAGGUGGUGCCGGAUGGAGGAGGCCGUGCUACUUGCCGUAGUGAGGAGGCGCCGGAGGGAGGAGGCCGAGCCACCCGCGCUCCUCGCCCGAGUGAGGAGGCGCCAGAGGGAGGAGGCUGCGCUACUCAGCACCCCGCGCCGCGCUGCUCCACGGAGUGAGGAGGCGUUGGAGGGAGGAGACCAUGCUGCUCACCGGCCCAUGUCGUGCCGCCCGCGCUGCUUGCCGGAGUGA
This 528-nucleotide ribosomal RNA is filed under the name Triticum aestivum (bread wheat). RNAcentral describes it as "partial small subunit ribosomal RNA". Lineage: Eukaryota; Viridiplantae; Streptophyta; Magnoliopsida; Poales; Poaceae. The record is from RNAcentral.